GACGAACGCUGGCGGCGUGCCUAAUACAUGCAAGUAGAACGCUGAAGGAGGAGCUUGCUCUUCUGGAUGAGUUGCGAACGGGUGAGUAACGCGUAGGUAACCUGCCUGGUAGCGGGGGAUAACUAUUGGAAACGAUAGCUAAUACCGCAUAAGAGUAGAUGUUGCAUGACAUUUGCUUAAAAGGUGCAAUUGCAUCACUACCAGAUGGACCUGCGUUGUAUUAGCUAGUUGGUGGGGUAACGGCUCACCAAGGCGGCGAAGCAUAGUCGAACGGUGAGGGGGGUCGGCCACCCUGGGAGUGUGACAGGGCACAGAGUCCCUGGGGAGGGAGCAGUAGGGAUACGUGGGGAAGGGGCGGAAGUCUGAGCGAGCAAGGCGGAGGGAGGGAAGAAGGGUUUCGGAUCGUAAAGCACGGUUGUAGGGGAAGAAAGAGCGUGAGAGUGGAAAGUUCACAGUGUGACGGUAUCUUAUCAGAAAGCGACGGCUAACUACGUG
Molecule: ribosomal RNA, 495 nt
Filed under: uncultured bacterium
Lineage: Bacteria
Description: partial 16S ribosomal RNA
Rfam family: Bacterial small subunit ribosomal RNA
Source: RNAcentral